UUUUUAAUUGUUUUAAAUGGUUUUCGGAAAUUGAGAGCCCAACAAUUAGAAAAGUAGUAUGUUUCUGUCCAAUUAAACAAAACCGCCCAAUAAUUUAAACAAUAUAUCAAUCAAUUUUUAAGCCUAUUUCGUAUAUGUUUACUAACUCAUCCAUAUUCGUUUGUGUUCUAACCCUAGACCCUAAAACUCUAUUCAAACUCUAACUCUAUUCAAACCCUAUUAAUACCAUCAAAAACCCGUUGUCCAAAAAACUAUACCAAAUAUAUUGGAGUUCAUUAUAAUGCAUAUGUCUGAUUUAAAACAGAAAUGUAAACAGAACUAAAAAAUUCGAAAAUUUUAUAUAUCCAUAACACACAAAAUAUCAAAAUAUUCAAUCACUUUAACCAAAACUCAACU
Molecule: long non-coding RNA, 396 nt
Filed under: Brassica napus (rape)
Lineage: Eukaryota; Viridiplantae; Streptophyta; Magnoliopsida; Brassicales; Brassicaceae
Description: long non-coding RNA (BNAP_LNC015431)
Source: RNAcentral